GCCUUCGUAGUGUAGUGGUCAGCACUCUGAGCUGAUACUUCAGAGGUCCGUGGUUCGAUUCCUGGCGAAGGCG
Molecule: non-coding RNA, 73 nt
Organism: Stegodyphus dumicola
Lineage: Eukaryota; Metazoa; Arthropoda; Arachnida; Araneae; Eresidae
Source: the annotation of a RefSeq genome assembly